UAGGAAGAGAAAGUAUAUGGAAAUGAAAUAAAAGAGAAAUUGUAUACAUUUGAAGUAGUAAAAUAGUAAAUAGUCACUUCUUUGUUGCUUCAGCUCCCUGCUGACUAUUAAUCCUUUUGUUUUUCUCUAGUUUUUGGGGGUAAAAUAGUUGAGUUAGGACUAUAUCCCCAAAAUCACAUAUGAGCAUUACUUUUUAUGUUCACCUAAAUUUAUUUCGACCCAAAGAAUAAUUUUACAAAAGAAAAAAGGAAAUCAAAAUCUACAAAGGAACAAAAGAAUCACAUGAAUCUAUUAGGAGUAUGAAUUUUGCACUAAAGAGGUGCAGAGAAUGAAGAUCUAGAGAUGCUACCAGGACUGUACUCAACAAAAGCCAAUGCCCUCUCCAAGUUAGC
RNAcentral lists this long non-coding RNA (392 nucleotides) under Lotus japonicus. RNAcentral's name for it is "long non-coding RNA (LJAP_LNC000029)". Lineage: Eukaryota; Viridiplantae; Streptophyta; Magnoliopsida; Fabales; Fabaceae. The record is from RNAcentral.